RNAcentral lists this long non-coding RNA (921 nucleotides) under Monodelphis domestica (gray short-tailed opossum). Its description in RNAcentral is "lncRNA (ENSMODG00000050688.1)". The record is from RNAcentral. Lineage: Eukaryota; Metazoa; Chordata; Mammalia; Didelphimorphia; Didelphidae.
CAGAUUGGGAGAUACUGGGUGAGGGGGAGUAGAAACCAAACAAGAGAGAGAAAGGUCACGAAUUUUUUUUUAACUACGUGGGUUUUUUUUAUUAUUGUUAUUUUAGAAGUGUGUUUAGCACUGAGACAAAUUGUACAUUUACCGCAAGUCACCAGGACCUAACGAGCUCCUAAUGUGCCCCAUACUUCAAGGUUUUUCAGAACAGGCCAGUAACUUAGCAACGGCAGCUAAACCUUGACGGGAAUAAUCAGUAUUUGUGUUGCAGCUUCAGGCUUUCCCACUGUAGAGGUUUCUGUGUUUUUUUUUCUUUUAUUUCUUUCUUUCUUUCCUCCCUUUCUCUUUUUAAAGGAUCCCACAACAAGGAAGAACAGUCAUGGCUGGGAAAGGACCAUUGCAGCUUCUGGAUCACAUAAGGCAUGGAGAGAGGCCAAUCCUGAAUGAAGGGUGCUUUCAAUGAACACCAAGGGAGGGAAGAGAGGAAAGAAAAGGAAGGAAGCUUCUUUGGGCAGAGGAAGUUUAUUAUUCUGCGAGAGGAAAUCGACAAAGAAAACUGAAGAAACCACAGAUAAUAGACUAAAGCAACAGAACAGUGCUGAUUUACAGAGGAAGACUUGCCAGGCAACUACAGGGGAAAACACAUGGCCUCCAGCUGAGCAGAAAGGGAGCUUUGCAGCUGCAGAGAUCAAGGAAGAUUACAAGGAGGAGGGGGCAAUGGAGCUGACUUCUGAAGCAUGACAAGAAUCUAAAACAUAGAAAAGAGGAAGGAAUGCUCUCCAUGCAUGGAGACAGCCUGUGUACUGACAUAGAAGGUAUGUAUUGAGUUCACGAAAUAGUUAGCGGUCCAACUUGCCUGAAAUAUCAUGUGUAUCAAGUAGUUUAAUGUGAAAUAAAACUGGGAGGAGGUUGGAGCUAGAUUCUAAA